Molecule: ribosomal RNA, 429 nt
Filed under: Chloroflexota bacterium
Lineage: Bacteria; Bacillati; Chloroflexota
Description: Chloroflexi bacterium partial 16S ribosomal RNA
Rfam family: Bacterial small subunit ribosomal RNA
Source: RNAcentral
UGGGGAAUAUUGCACAAUGGGCGCAAGCCUGAUGCAGCCAUGCCGCGUGUGUGAAGAAGGCCUUCGGGUUGUAAAGCACUUUCAGCGGGGAGGAAGGCGUUAAGGUUAAUAACCUUGGCGAUUGACGUUACCCGCAGAAGAAGCACCGGCUAACUCCGUGCCAGCAGCCGCGGUAAUACGGAGGGUGCAAGCGUUAAUCGGAAUUACUGGGCGUAAAGCGCACGCAGGCGGUCUGUCAAGUCGGAUGUGAAAUCCCCGGGCUCAACCUGGGAACUGCAUUCGAAACUGGCAGGCUGGAGUCUUGUAGAGGGGGGUAGAAUUCCAGGGGUAGCGGUGAAAUGCGUAGAGAUCUGGAGGAAUACCGGUGGCGAAGGCGGCCCCCUGGACGAAGACUGACGCUCAGGUGCGAAAGCGUGGGGAGCAAACAGG